Molecule: ribosomal RNA, 405 nt
Filed under: uncultured bacterium
Lineage: Bacteria
Description: partial 16S ribosomal RNA
Rfam family: Bacterial small subunit ribosomal RNA
Source: RNAcentral
AUUGAACGCUGGCGGCAGGCCUAACACAUGCAAGUCGAACGAGUGGCGGACGGGUGAGUAAUGCUUGGGCAUCUAGCUUAUGUAGCGGGAUAACUACGGGAAACUGUAGCUAAUACUGCGUACCAUAGGUUGAGCCCACGUGGGAUUAGGUAGUUGGUGAGGUAAAGGAUCACCAAGCCGACGAUCCCUACCUGGUCUGAGAGGGUGACCAGCCACACGGGGACUGAGACACGGCCCAGACUCCUACGGGAGGCAGCAGUAGGGAAUAUUGCGCAAUGGGGGAAACCUGACGCAGCCAUGCCGCGUGAAUGAAGAAGGCCUUCGGAUUGUAAAGUUCUUUCGGUAGCGAAGCGUUAACUACAGAAGAAGCACCGGCUAACUCCGUGCCAGCAGCCGCGGUAAUAC